RNAcentral lists this ribosomal RNA (288 nucleotides) under uncultured prokaryote. Its description in RNAcentral is "partial 16S ribosomal RNA". It matches the Rfam family "Bacterial small subunit ribosomal RNA", at positions 355 to 657 of the family's 1533-position model. The record is from RNAcentral.
UGGGGAAUAUUGGGCAAUGGGCGCAAGCCUGACCCAGCAACGCCGCGUGAGGGAAGAAGGCUUUCGGGUUGUAAACCUCUGUCCUUGGUGACGAAACAAAUGACGGUAGCCAAGGAGGAAGCCCCGGCUAACUACGUGCCAGCAGCCGCGGUAAUACGUAGGGGGCGAGCGUUGUCCGGAAUUACGGGGCGUAAAGGGUGCGUAGGUGGCCUUUUAAGUUGGAGGUGAAAUACCCGGGCGUAACUUGGGGGGUGCAUCUAAUACUGGAGGGCUAGAGUGCAGGAGAGG